Long non-coding RNA from Rhododendron vialii, 484 nucleotides. RefSeq lists it as uncharacterized. The transcript has 2 exons. Lineage: Eukaryota; Viridiplantae; Streptophyta; Magnoliopsida; Ericales; Ericaceae. The record is from RefSeq and is a predicted model, not a curated record.
AAAUACAAUAAAUUCGUAGAAAAUGAAUGCCAUACUUUUUUUGGGCUAUAAAAGGGUGAACCCUACUUGCCCUUUCCUUGUACCCAGGAAAAAUGGGUUUUAGUAAGCUUUUUGUUGUUUUGCAAGUGCUUUUGAUCUCUAUCAUUCUCUUGGCUUUUCAGGUGGUUGCUAGGGAACUAGUUGAGACUUCCAGCGCUCUAAAUCCUUACCAUAAGAUCGACAGAGAGCUGAUCAAUACUCCGGAUUAUCCACACCCCGGUUAUCCCUAGACAUGGAUGAUUUGCCUCAACGACUCGAGCAUAAUUCGAGACAAAAGGGUUGGCUUGGUGAUUAAAAUGUCCCGAGGCGAUGCUCGAACUUGAAUCUCACACUAUUGCAAGCUAGCUAAUACUGCUAUUUUUCUUUUUCUUUUUUCUUUUUUUUCAAUUAUUCUCCUAUCAUAUCAGUUGUAAAAACGUGGAAUUAAAAUAAUGUUCUUUGUCAA